CCUACGGGAGGCAGCAGUGAGGAAUAUUGAUCAAUGGACGAGAGUCUGAACCAGCCAAGUAGCGUGAAGGAUGACUGCCCUAUGGGUUGUAAACUUCUUUUAUAUGGGAAUAAAAUGUUCCACGUGUGGGAUUUUGUAUGUACCAUAUGAAUAAGGAUCGGCUAACUCCGUGCCAGCAGCCGCGGUAAUACGGAGGAUCCGAGCGUUAUCCGGAUUUAUUGGGUUUAAAGGGAGCGUAGGUGGAUUGUUAAGUCAGUUGUGAAAGUUUGCGGCUCAACCGUAAAAUUGCAGUUGAAACUGGCAGUCUUGAGUACAGUAGAGGUGUGCGGAAUUCGUGGUGUAGCGGUGAAAUGCUUAGAUAUCACGAAGAACUCCGAUUGCGAAGGCAGUUCACUGGACUGCAACUGACACUGAGGCUCGAAAGUGUGGGUAUCAAACAGGAUUAGAUACCCCAGUAGUC
This 460-nucleotide ribosomal RNA is filed under the name uncultured bacterium. RNAcentral's name for it is "partial 16S ribosomal RNA". It matches the Rfam family "Bacterial small subunit ribosomal RNA", at positions 338 to 795 of the family's 1533-position model. The record is from RNAcentral.